This 506-nucleotide ribosomal RNA is filed under the name uncultured bacterium. RNAcentral describes it as "partial 16S ribosomal RNA". It matches the Rfam family "Bacterial small subunit ribosomal RNA", at positions 29 to 523 of the family's 1533-position model. The record is from RNAcentral.
AGUGAGCGCUGGCGGUAGGCCUAACACAUGCAAGUCGAACGGCAGCACAGGAGAGCUUGCUCUCUGGGUGGCGAGUGGCGGACGGGUGAGGAAUACAUCGGAAUCUACUCUGUCGUGGGGGAUAACGUAGGGAAACUUACGCUAAUACCGCAUACGACCUACGGGUGAAAGCAGGGGAUCUUCGGACCUUGCGCGAUUGAAUGAGCCGAUGUCGGAUUAGCUAGUUGGCGGGGUAAAGGCCCACCAAGGCGACGAUCCGUAGCUGGUCUGAGAGGAUGAUCAGCCACACUGGGACCGAGACACGGUCCAGACUCCUACGGGAGGCAGCAGUGGGGAAUAUUGGACAAUGGGCGCAAGCCUGAUCCAGCCAUACCGCGUGGGUGAAGAAGGCCUUCGGGUUGUAAAGCCCUUUUGUUGGGAAAGAAAUCCAGCUGGCUAAUACCCGGUUGGGAUGACGGUACCCAAAGAAUAAGCACCGGCUAACUUCGUGCCAGCCGCCGCGGUAA